AUUGAACGCUGGCGGCAGGCCUAACACAUGCAAGUCGAACGAGUGGCGGACGGGUGAGUAAUGUCUGGGAAACUGCCUGAUGGAGGGGGAAAACUACUGGAAACGGUAGCUAAUACCGUAUACCAUCAGAUGUGCCCAGAUGGGUUUAGCUUGGUGGUGGGGUAACGGCUCACCAAGGCGACGAUCCCUAGCUGGUCUGAGAGGGAGACCAGCCAAACUGGAACUGAGACCCGGGCCAGAAUCCUACGGGAGGCAGGAGGGGGGAAUAUUGCACAAUGGGCGCAAGCCUGAUGGAGCCAUGCCGCGUGUAUGAAGAAGGCCUUCGGGUUGGAAAGUACUUUCAGCGGGGAGGCGUUACCCGAAGAAGAAGCACCGGCUAACUCCGUGCCAGCAGCCGCGGGAAUAC
This 406-nucleotide ribosomal RNA is filed under the name uncultured bacterium. RNAcentral's name for it is "partial 16S ribosomal RNA". It matches the Rfam family "Bacterial small subunit ribosomal RNA", at positions 29 to 526 of the family's 1533-position model. The record is from RNAcentral.